AGUGAACGCUGGCGGUAAGCCUAACACAUGCAAGUCGAACGGCAGCACAGUAAGAGCUUGCUCUUACGGGUGGCGAGUGGCGGACGGGUGAGGAAUACAUCGGAAUCUACUUUUUCGUGGGGGGUAACGUAGGGAAACUUACGCUAAUACCGCAUACGACCUACGGGUGAAAGCAGGGGAUCUUCGGACCUUGCGCGAUUGAAUGAGCCGAUGUCGGAUUAGCUAGUUGGCGGGGUAAAGGCCCACCAAGGCGACGAUCCGUAGCUGGUCUGAGAGGAUGAUCAGCCACACUGGAACUGAGACACGGUCCAGACUCCUACGGGAGGCAGCAGUGGGGAAUAUUGGACAAUGGGCGCAAGCCUGAUCCAGCCAUACCGCGUGGGUGAAGAAGGCCUUCGGGUUGUAAAGCCCUUUUGUUGGGAAAGAAAAGCAGCAGGUUAAUACCCCGCUGUUCUGACGGUACCCAAAGAAUAAGCACCGGCUAACUUCGUG
Molecule: ribosomal RNA, 492 nt
Filed under: uncultured bacterium
Lineage: Bacteria
Description: partial 16S ribosomal RNA
Rfam family: Bacterial small subunit ribosomal RNA
Source: RNAcentral